AGCGAACGCUGGCGGCAGGCCUAACACAUGCAAGUCGAACGAACCUUUCGGGGUUAGUGGCGGACGGGUGAGUAACACGUGGGAACGUGCCUUUAGGUUCGGAAUAACUCAGGGAAACUUGUGCUAAUACCGAAUGUGCCCUUCGGGGGAAAGAUUUAUCGCCUUUAGAGCGGCCCGCGUCUGAUUAGCUAGUUGGUUGAGGUAAUGGCUCACCAAGGCGACGAUCAGUAGCUGGUCUGAGAGGAUGAUCAGCCACAUUGGGACUGAGACACGGCCCAAACUCCUACGGGAGGCAGCAGUGGGGAAUCUUGCGCAAUGGGCGAAAGCCUGACGCAGCCAUGCCGCGUGAAUGAUGAAGGUCUUAGGAUUGUAAAAUACUUUCACCGGGGACGAUAAUGACGGUACCCGGAGAAGAAGCCCCGGCUAACUUCGUG
This 434-nucleotide ribosomal RNA is filed under the name uncultured bacterium. RNAcentral's name for it is "partial 16S ribosomal RNA". It matches the Rfam family "Bacterial small subunit ribosomal RNA", at positions 29 to 507 of the family's 1533-position model. The record is from RNAcentral.